UUUUCGGAUUUGCCAUUUUGUUUUAUGAUUUGUUAAUGUGUUUCUGAAUGUUAUUUUUCUUUGGAUUUGCCGUUGUGUUUUUAGAUUUGAUGUUUUUGUUGUGCACUUCACGGCCACCGUACUUUUUUGCGAGGCAUGGGACACCUCAGCAGAUGCUUCUUGUGAAUAGCAAACUCAAAAUGUUUGAGCGCUUUUAUAAGUCAAAGUAGCAUAUCCAGGGCCAUAGGGAGAACCGGGACUUUUCCCGGUGGGCCGGAUGCGGAACGGGCUGAAUGGGAGGUGAUAAGCUGAAACGGCCACCACGUUAUGCCGAACGGGCCAUGACUGGCUGAAGCUGGCUGCAAAACGGCACCGCAGUAUGCGGAAGGGGGCCACAGUAUGCAGAAAAGGACAGAAGAAAGAAUGUCAUAUGGGUUUGGAAUGAUAUGAGGACAGUACUUUGUUCAGAGGGCCUGUUCAUCCAUCUCCGUCACUGACAAUGUCAGACUCAAUCUGCUAUAAUUCAUCAUUCAUAUCGACUCACAGCUCUUCUCAGAGGACACAAAAUGCAGGCAAAGCAGGAACAAAUCCAACAGAUAUGAAUACCUGAAUUUGUAAAAAGACAGGGAACCUCAAAGGAAUGUGCAUUUUAUGAACCCCACAUAUUUUAAUUAAAAAUUAAAACCACUGACAUGAUAAACUUCAUGUUCACAACAUGCUCCAAAAAAUAUUUUAGCCAAUUUUUACGAUUUACGCAUUUAAGUUUAAUAACAGAUUU
Molecule: long non-coding RNA, 757 nt
Organism: Myxocyprinus asiaticus (Chinese sucker)
Lineage: Eukaryota; Metazoa; Chordata; Actinopteri; Cypriniformes; Catostomidae
Exons: 3
Source: RefSeq, a predicted model, not a curated record